Molecule: transfer RNA, 107 nt
Filed under: Terriglobales bacterium
Lineage: Bacteria; Pseudomonadati; Acidobacteriota; Terriglobia; Terriglobales
Description: Acidobacteriales bacterium (soil metagenome) tRNA-Ile
Rfam family: tRNA
About the family: Transfer RNA (tRNA) molecules are approximately 80 nucleotides in length. Their secondary structure includes four short double-helical elements and three loops (D, anti-codon, and T loops).
Source: RNAcentral
GGAGAGGUGGCUGAGCGGCUUAAAGCGGCGGUUUGAUAAACCGUUGAUCGGGUCUCACCUUCACCGGAAACACCACGAUCCGUGGGUUCAAAAUCCCACCCUCUCCG